Molecule: long non-coding RNA, 1128 nt
Filed under: Zonotrichia albicollis (white-throated sparrow)
Lineage: Eukaryota; Metazoa; Chordata; Aves; Passeriformes; Passerellidae
Description: lncRNA (ENSZALG00000005713.1)
Source: RNAcentral
CAGGAGCUCCGCGGGUGCUGUCCCUGGGUCUGUCUCUGUGUCUGUCCCUGGGUCUGUCCCCUGGUGCUNUUUUUUUUUUCUUCUUUUUUUUUUUUUUCUUCAUCGAGUCUUUUCAUUCACUGGUUGCAAAAGAAAAGGGGGUUGGUCAACACCAAAAUGGCAAAGUUCAGCUUGGAGAAAAAAAAAACCAAAAAAAACCCUCCAGCUACCUACAAAGGGGCUCAGGGCUUUGUAAUGGCAGAAAGAAACAAAAAUGAAAAGAAAAUUGCAGUUGAGGCUAAAGUGUGAGAGUGUGUUUGUGUGUAUGUAUAUCUGUGUGUAUUUUUAAAGGUUUCUUUGAACUGCCUUUGUGCUGACUAGGCAAAGCUCCUUGCCAAUGCUAGUCACGGUUUAAGGAACUUUGAGUUAACCUCUUAUAUCGAAUGAAUCUUUUCAUUUGGAAACCAAUAAAUCUCAAUCUCUAGCCACCUUUUGUAGAACAGGCUGGGGCUUACCAAGGCGAGGCUGAAGCUUAUAAUAAAGAAGAGAUAAAGUUUGCCAAAGUUUGGGUUGGUUUUUUUUCCUUUUUUUUUUUUUUUUUUUUGUAACCUUCCCCUCCUUCUUCUUCCUCUUCUUCUCUUGUAAAUAAAAGUUUUGGAGAUGGCAGCAUUUGGAAGCAAUCCGGAGAAGGACUUGGAUCUAUGCAUUGUUUCACAAGUAGAUUUUGUUGCAAAACCAGCACUCAGAGAAGGGCUGUGGCCUCAGUGUCAUUUCUCCUUUCCACCCAGCUCAGCAGCAAUGUUUUCAGUCAAGAAUGGUGAUGGACACGGGGUAUCAACUACAGGGGCUCUCACGAACUUCCCAAUAACAAACCAGGUAAAGUUCUGUGGUCCAACCAACACUGCUCAAGGAAUUUGAGCACCAAGGCACACUGAUGAUCAGCUGCUGCAUGGUUCUACCAGGUAAAAUAACAGGAGUAUAAAUUAGGAAAAAACCCACCAGGCUGACUCGGAAUUUUGCCAUACAUUUCAAGAUGCUGCUAUCAGUGGUCACUGGUGACAAAGUGACUGGUGAGAAGAAGAAGAAGGUCAUAAGUAAGAAGCAGACGAAAGAAAAGUCGUGAAGAAAUAAAGAAUAUUUUCCAGAGCA